Non-coding RNA from Pelobates cultripes (western spadefoot toad), 230 nucleotides. NCBI's taxonomy places the organism in Eukaryota, Metazoa, Chordata, Amphibia, Anura, Pelobatidae. The record is from the annotation of a GenBank genome assembly.
CCAGAAUCGGAGCCGGCAAGCAUGGAACCAAGUGCGGCCAAACCCAGCACCCAGAGCAGUCGCCCACCACUACCAAGCGGAACCAGCCACCCAGGAGAUGCUCUGUAAUCAGACAGAAGAGCCCCUGGGAAUACUACAUGAGGUGAGGUCAGUACAAGCCACAGACAACAGGCAACAUCACCGUCAGCUGGUAACUCUGGAAGGGAAAGAGGUACAAGGGCUCCGGGAUU